RNAcentral lists this ribosomal RNA (230 nucleotides) under uncultured bacterium. RNAcentral's name for it is "partial 16S ribosomal RNA". It matches the Rfam family "Bacterial small subunit ribosomal RNA", at positions 563 to 791 of the family's 1533-position model. The record is from RNAcentral.
AAGCGCGCGUAGGUGGUUUGUUAAGUUGGAUGUGAAAUCCCCGGGCUCAACCUGGGAACUGCAUUCAAAACUGACUGACUAGAGGUGUGGUAGAGGGUGGUGGAAUUUCCUGUGUAGCGGUGAAAUGCGUAGAUAUAGGAAGGAACACCAGUGGCGAAGGCGACCACCUGGACCAACACUGACACUGAGGUGCGAAAGCGUGGGGAGCAAACAGGAUUAGAUACCCGUGU